RNAcentral lists this transfer RNA (74 nucleotides) under Pyramimonas orientalis virus. Its description in RNAcentral is "tRNA-Asn". It matches the Rfam family "tRNA". From Rfam's summary of the family: Transfer RNA (tRNA) molecules are approximately 80 nucleotides in length. Their secondary structure includes four short double-helical elements and three loops (D, anti-codon, and T loops). The record is from RNAcentral. Lineage: Varidnaviria; Bamfordvirae; Nucleocytoviricota; Megaviricetes; Imitervirales; Allomimiviridae.
GACCUUAUAGCUCAGUUGGUUAGAGCGUGCGGCUGUUAACCGCAAGGUCGUUGGUUCGAAACCAACUAGGGUCG